Molecule: ribosomal RNA, 240 nt
Filed under: Salmonella enterica subsp. enterica serovar Typhimurium
Lineage: Bacteria; Pseudomonadati; Pseudomonadota; Gammaproteobacteria; Enterobacterales; Enterobacteriaceae
Description: partial 16S ribosomal RNA
Rfam family: Bacterial small subunit ribosomal RNA
Source: RNAcentral
AGGGUGCGAGCGUUGUCCGGAUUUAUUGGGCGUAAAGGGCUCGUAGGUGGUUGAUCGCGUCGGAAGUGUAAUCUUGGGGCUUAACCCUGAGCGUGCUUUCGAUACGGGUUGACUUGAGGAAGGUAGGGGAGAAUGGAAUUCCUGGUGGAGCGGUGGAAUGCGCAGAUAUCAGGAGGAACACCAGUGGCGAAGGCGAUUCUCUGGGCCUUUCCUGACGCUGAGGAGCGAAAGCGUGGGGAG